RNAcentral lists this transfer RNA (83 nucleotides) under Candidatus Harrisonbacteria bacterium RIFCSPLOWO2_02_FULL_41_13b. Its description in RNAcentral is "tRNA-Leu". It matches the Rfam family "tRNA". Rfam says of the family: Transfer RNA (tRNA) molecules are approximately 80 nucleotides in length. Their secondary structure includes four short double-helical elements and three loops (D, anti-codon, and T loops). The record is from RNAcentral. Lineage: Bacteria; Candidatus Harrisoniibacteriota.
GGGCGCGUGGCGGAACGGCAGACGCUAGGGACUUAAAAUCCCUUGGGCUUUAGCCCGUGUGGGUUCGAUUCCCACCGCGCCUA